GGCGACCGGCGCACGGGUGAGUAACACGUAUCCAACCUGCCUUAUACUCGGGGAUAGGCUUUCGAAAGAAAGAUUAAUACCCGAUGGCAUAGUUCUUUCGCAUGUUAGGACUAUUAAAGAAUUCGGUAUAAGAUGGGGAUGCGUUCCAUUAGCUUGUUGGUAAGGUAACGGCUUACCAAGGCAUCGAUGGAUAGGGGUUCUGAGAGGAAGGUCCCCCACACUGGAACUGAGACACGGUCCAG
This 242-nucleotide ribosomal RNA is filed under the name uncultured bacterium. RNAcentral describes it as "partial 16S ribosomal RNA". It matches the Rfam family "Bacterial small subunit ribosomal RNA", at positions 90 to 334 of the family's 1533-position model. The record is from RNAcentral.